RNAcentral lists this ribosomal RNA (482 nucleotides) under uncultured bacterium. Its description in RNAcentral is "partial 16S ribosomal RNA". It matches the Rfam family "Bacterial small subunit ribosomal RNA", at positions 28 to 507 of the family's 1533-position model. The record is from RNAcentral.
GACGAACGCUGGCGGCGUGCUUAACACAUGCAAGUCGAACGAUGAAGAAGAGAAACGCGAACUUCGGUUCCAAUUUCACUUCGGAUUAGUGGCAGACGGGUGAGUAACGCGUGAGCAACCUACCUCUUACAAAGGGAUAGCCUCGGGAAACCGUGAUUAAUACCAUAUGACACAUUCAUAAGGCAUCUUAAGAAUGUUAAAGCUACGGCGGUAAGAGAUGGGCUCGCGUCCCAUUAGCUAGUUGGUGAGGUAACGGCCCACCAAGGCGACGAUGGGUAACCGGCCUGAGAGGGUGAACGGUCACCUUGGCACUGAGACACGGUCCAAACUCCUACGGGAGGCAGCAGUGGGGAAUAUUGCACAAUGGAGGGAACUCUGAUGCAGCGACGCCGCGUGAGCGAUGAAGGAAUUCGUUUCGUAAAGCUCUGUUCUAUGGGAAGAAAAGGACUGUACCAUAGGAGAAAGCCCCGGCUAAAUACGUG